GUAUCCACAUCCGUGUGCCCCCAAGAGCUCUCUCCAAGGCUGGCUCUGUUAUCUGUUAGAACACACUCUGCUCUGGGAUUUUUCAAGUCAUGCUGGAGAGACAGAAGCCAACCCAAGCAUGUUCGGAAUCAACCUGUUUACAUAAAACAAGGCUUUGGAACACAUGGAGUUUGCAAACAAUAACACAAGAGUUGAGGAGAAAGUUGGAACUUGUACCAAGUGGAAUGUGUUGUCUGUUCCAAGGAAAGGCUCUGGAGGGAAAAUCCCAGGCCCAGCACAAUGCUGAGCUCACAGGUGACACUCAGUGGCUUGCUCCUGCCUGCCUGCCUGCCAGAGUGGCCCUUACUCCUUCUGCUACAACAAAAUGUACAAUGCAAUGUCCCCAAAGCUUCUUACCUGAACCCUGGGAUCAUCUUGGCAAAGCCAAUGACCUUUUGGAUGCUGUAACUGACCAGGUCAGCCAGGUGG
Pteronotus mesoamericanus is the source of this 468-nucleotide long non-coding RNA. RefSeq lists it as uncharacterized. The record is from RefSeq and is a predicted model, not a curated record. The transcript is spliced from 3 exons. NCBI's taxonomy places the organism in Eukaryota, Metazoa, Chordata, Mammalia, Chiroptera, Mormoopidae.